This 920-nucleotide ribosomal RNA is filed under the name Pythium longandrum. RNAcentral describes it as "eukaryotic LSU rRNA". The stretch from base 238 to 392 matches the Rfam family "5.8S ribosomal RNA". The record is from RNAcentral. Lineage: Eukaryota; Oomycota; Peronosporomycetes; Pythiales; Pythiaceae.
CCACACCUAAAAACUCUCCACGUGAACUGUUUGUAUCAGAUUAGCGCCGAGAUUUUCGUGCGUGUUUGUGGUAUCGCGAUGUAUUCGUACGUGGCGUUAGCAAGCAUUGUAUGGAGCUUGGCUGAUCGAAGGUCGGUGCGCACCUUGUGUGUGUGUUGGCUGAUUAACCUUUCAAACCCUUUAAAUUAAUACUGAUUAUACUGUGAGGACGAAAGUCUUUGCUUUUAUCUAGAUAACAACUUUCAGCAGUGGAUGUCUAGGCUCGCACAUCGAUGAAGAACGCUGCGAACUGCGAUACGUAAUGCGAAUUGCAGAAUUCAGUGAGUCAUCGAAAUUUUGAACGCAUAUUGCACUUUCGGGUUAUACCUGGAAGUAUGUCUGUAUCAGUGUCCGUACAUCAAACUUGUCUCUUUUUGUCGGUGUAGUCCGAUCGAGAGUAUGGCAGACGUGAGGUGUCUCGCGACUCGUAUAUCAUUGUGUGUGUAAAUCGUAAGAGAUACAUACAUAAGCUAGUAUAUAACUUGUUGCGAGUCCCUUUAAAACGACACGAUCUUUCUAUUUGCUUUCUAUGGAGCGUGUAUUUCGAACGCGGUGGUCCUCGGAUCGCUUGCAGUCGGCAGCGACUUCAGUGAAGACAUAGUGAAGAAACCUCUAUUCGCGGUACGUUAGGCUUCGGCUCGACAAUGUUGCGUUCUAGUGUGUGGACUCCGUUUUCACUUUGAGGUGUACUGUUCGGUUGUGGGUUUGAGCCUUGGUAUUGCUUUGUUAGUAGAGAUAUGUCGAUUUUCUGUAGUUUGAUUCUGCAUACACGCAAGUGUGUGUGGGUAGAGAGUAUCUAUUUGGGAAAUUUUGUACUGCGUGCGCUUUCGAGUGUGUGUAUGUAUCUCAAUUGGACCUGAUAUCAGACAAGACUACCCGCU